Molecule: long non-coding RNA, 927 nt
Organism: Limulus polyphemus (Atlantic horseshoe crab)
Lineage: Eukaryota; Metazoa; Arthropoda; Merostomata; Xiphosura; Limulidae
Exons: 3
Source: RefSeq, a predicted model, not a curated record
UCUUAGUCAUCCAUUAGAUGUUUUUGUACUUUAGAAGAAAUAUCAUUGUGGAAUUGCUGUAAUAAAAUAUUUUGUUUCAGAAUGGAAAGGCAGAGUGGUGGGAACAAUGGAUACCAUAUUUGUUGGGGGCUCGCAACCCUAUACAUAAUCCAGAUAGAUCUACGACUCCUGAAAAAUCUACUUUAAAGAUAUUUAUAAGUAGUGAAACAUGCCAUACAGUUAAAUGUGGGUAUGCUACAGAUAUUGAGGUCAGUGGAAGUGGAAUAUACCUCAAAUUUGUUUCUCCAAUUGAAUACCAGUGACCAAUGGGAGAUAAUCCUAUGUUGCCAUAGUAGUAGCUCUUGAAACAAGAUUGGCUAUCAGCCUGAUAAUUUCAGGCGAAGGUGGCUUUAAUGAACAGCAACCCCUAGUACAGUUCAAAUAAAGGUCAUCCUGUAGUAGGGUUAGAUUUGGAUAGUAGGGUUAGAAUACUGGCAUCACCAAAAUCAAAAUGUUCCAAUCAGAAAAAGUCCCCCAACAAGGACAAUUUCUCAAAUCAAGAUAUCAAAGACUUAGCUGUUUUUCAGUUUAAUGUGGAGAAACAUCAUUGCAGUCUUCAUGUGUCAGAAGAUCCAUGUUGCUACAUUGAAAAAUACAAAUAAGGUCUAGAGUACUAAAUUGUAGAUAGUAUAAAUAAAAUUCAACAUUUUGCUUUAAUUAUGAAGGUGCUUACAUUAUGUAGUGUGUGUGUGUGUGUGAUAAAAGAAAAAAAUGGAGAGUUAUGUUAGUGCCAAAUAUGGUAUGUGUUUUCCUAAUGUGAUAUUUUACAAGUUGUGUAUGUAUUUUGCAAGUUUUCAUAGAGUUCAAUGUGAAAGUUGUUCAGAUUUUCAUGAAAAUAACUUUUGAGCUUUCAGAUAUUUUUUGAGUAUCUGGAAUAAAAUAAAUGUU